AAGGAAUAUUGGUCAAUGGACGGAAGUCUGAACCAGCCAUCCCGCGUGCAGGAUGAAGGUCCUAUGGAUUGUAAACUGCUUUUAGCAGAGACGAAACGCCGACAUUUAUGUUGGUCUGACGGUAUCUGCGGAAUAAGCACCGGCUAACUCCGUGCCAGCAGCCGCGGUAAUACGGAGGGUGCAAGCGUUAUCCGGAAUCACUGGGUUUAAAGGGUGCGUAGGCGGAUGAUUAAGUCAGUGGUGAAAGCUGGUCGCUUAACGAUCAAACUGCCAUUGAUACUGAUUGUCUUGAAUUGGGUUGAGGUUAGCGGAAUGUGACAUGUAGCGGUGAAAUGCAUAGAUAUGUCAUGGAACACCAAUUGCGAAGGCAGCUAACUGGGCCUUGAUUGACGCUGAGGCACGAAAGCGUGGGUAGCGAAC
RNAcentral lists this ribosomal RNA (420 nucleotides) under uncultured bacterium. Its description in RNAcentral is "bacterial SSU rRNA". It matches the Rfam family "Bacterial small subunit ribosomal RNA", at positions 356 to 773 of the family's 1533-position model. The record is from RNAcentral.